UCUGUAGCUCAGUGGUAGAGAACGUGCAUUGCAUGCCAAAGGUCCCAGGUUCAAUCCCUGACGUCACAA
Non-coding RNA from Podarcis lilfordi (Lilford's wall lizard), 69 nucleotides. The record is from the annotation of a GenBank genome assembly. NCBI's taxonomy places the organism in Eukaryota, Metazoa, Chordata, Lepidosauria, Squamata, Lacertidae.